This 253-nucleotide ribosomal RNA is filed under the name uncultured bacterium. Its description in RNAcentral is "partial 16S ribosomal RNA". It matches the Rfam family "Bacterial small subunit ribosomal RNA", at positions 524 to 776 of the family's 1533-position model. The record is from RNAcentral.
UACAGAGGGGGCAAGCGUUGUUCGGAAUUACUGGGCGUAAAGGGCGCGUAGGCGGCCAACUAAGUCAGACGUGAAAGCCCCCGGCUCAACCGGGGAAGGUGACUGCAAACUGGGUUUCUUGAGGGCGAUAGGGGAGAGCGGAAUUCCUGGUGUAGCGGUGAAAUGCGUAGAGAUCAGGAGGAACACCGAUGGCGAAGGCAGCCAUCUGGACCGACACUGACGCUGAGGCGCGAAAGCGUGGGGAGCAAACAGG